Molecule: ribosomal RNA, 548 nt
Filed under: uncultured bacterium
Lineage: Bacteria
Description: bacterial SSU rRNA
Rfam family: Bacterial small subunit ribosomal RNA
Source: RNAcentral
UAGGGAAUCUUCGGCAAUGGACGGAAGUCUGACCGAGCAACGCCGCGUGAGUGAAGAAGGUUUUCGGAUCGUAAAGCUCUGUUGUAAGAGAAGAACGAGUGUGAGAGUGGAAAGUUCACACUGUGACGGUAUCUUACCAGAAAGGGACGGCUAACUACGUGCCAGCAGCCGCGGUAAUACGUAGGUCCCGAGCGUUAUCCGGAUUUAUUGGGCGUAAAGCGAGCGCAGGCGGUUAGAUAAGUCUGAAGUUAAAGGCUGUGGCUUAACCAUAGUACGCUUUGGAAACUGUUUAACUUGAGUGCAAGAGGGGAGAGUGGAAUUCCAUGUGUAGCGGUGAAAUGCGUAGAUAUAUGGAGGAACACCGGUGGCGAAAGCGGCUCUCUGGCUUGUAACUGACGCUGAGGCUCGAAAGCGUGGGGAGCAAACAGGAUUAGAUACCCUGGUAGUCCACGCCGUAACGAUGAGUGCUAGGUGUUGGGUCCUUUCCGGGACUCAGUGCCGCAGCUAACGCAUUAAGCACUCCGCCUGGGGAGUACGACCGCAAGGUU